AUGGCCAAGAUCGGCUGCUUCUGUGCUCUGCUCGGUGGCAAGGGCAAGAAAUUCAAGGACGUGAAGAAGGUUCCGCACGCCAAAAGGGCCAACGGAAGCGACUGGCAGAAGGUGAAGCCGGUGGAGUCCAUGGACGGCACGGUCGCCGCCUCCGUCGACAACAGCGCCCCUGCACCAGCAUGCCGCGACACAAAAGUUGUCGCAGUGACAGCCGCCGAGCUGCCAUGCCAAGGCCGUGACGACGACAAGGCCUCCCCAGCGAGGGACGUCGGCCUCGUCGGAGGCGCAGCCACGGACUCGUCCGGCUACAACAGCGACAAGGAUGCUGCCGGCACCGGCACACCGGACGUCGUGAGCGAGCUGCCGUUGCCGGCGACUCCAGCGAGGCUGGAGCGCUCGUGCUCCAACAUCGAGACGGCGAGGCCUGGCUGGAAGGCGUUCGACCUGCUGCUGCCGCCGGCCAAGUCGCGCUCCCACGGCGACCUCGCGACCUUGCCCGCCGGCGCCGGUAGCUUGUUCGCCAGCCCCAACGGCGGGCCGGGCGGCUCCAGCCCGGCGCCGUCCGUGAGGUCGACGUGCAGCGCGGACCGCGUGAUGCUCAAGAGGAGGUCGUCCAGCCAGGUGCUCCCGUCCCGGAGCCGGAAGCUGUGGUGGCGGCUGUUCAUGUGGAGCCACCGGAACCUGCACCGGCCGGGCGCCGCCACAUCGAGCACCUUGCCACCCGCGGACACACACCACCAAAUGUUCCACUCCCAUCGCCAGCAGCACGACGGGUACACGUCCGACACCUUCGGCACCGCGGCGGACGGCAACUGCAAGAACAAGGAGAUCGCCGCGGUGGAGGAAGAGCCGACGUGCCCGAACCAGUGGGUGGCGUUCUCGGCGGAGGUCUCGUCGUCGCUGGACCGCGUCAGCGCGUGGGUGAGCAGCCUCGGGGACAGCUCGCUGCUGAUCCACGCCGAGGAGCAGGAGGAGGAGGACGACGAGGAAGAGGAGUGGAACGGCAUCACCGAGACCGAGAUCGGCGAGCCGUCGGGUACGACGACGAAGGGCCACGCGCAGGCGCAGACGCGGCAGAAGCGGCGCAGCAGGGCGGCGGAGGAGGCGGUGCAGCAGGCGAGCAGCAUCGUGCAGACGCUCAACGCCUUCUCCUCGGUGGCGCACAUCUCCGGCAUGGGGCUCAAGGCCGUGCCCAUGAUCUCGGCCUUCUCCAGCCUCCGGGCGGUGAACCUCUCCGGCAACUUCAUCGCUCACAUCUCGGCCGGGUCGCUGCCCAAGGGGCUGCACUCGCUGGACCUGUCCCGGAACAGCAUCGCCAGCAUCGAGGGCCUCCGGGAGCUGACGCGGCUGCGCGUGCUCAGCCUCAGCUACAACCGGAUCGCGCGCAUCGGCCACGGCCUGUCGAGCUGCACGGCGCUGAGGGAGCUGUACCUGGCGGGGAACAAGAUCAGCGACGUGGAGGGGCUGCACCGGCUGCUCAAGCUGGCGGUGCUGGACCUGAGCUUCAACAGGGUCACCACCGCCAGGGGGCUCGGCCAGCUCGUCGCCAACUACAACUCGCUCCGGGCGCUCAACCUGCUGGGCAACCCCGUGCAGGCCAACGUCGGCGACGACGCGCUCCGCAAGGCCGUCUCCGGCCUCCUGCCGCUGCUCGCCUACCUCAACAAGCAGGCCCUCAGGCCGCAGCGCGCGCGCGAGGCCGCCAAGGACAGCGUCGCCAAGGCCGCGCUCGGGAACAACCUCUGGAGCUCGCGGCGGCGCGCGGGCUCCACGGCGCGCCGCCUCGGCCACAGCCCCGGCUCGUCGUCGGCCAGGAGGGAGGGGAGCGGCGGCCGGAGCAGGUCCCUGAGCGGGGUUCAGGCACGGAGGUGA
This 1872-nucleotide ribosomal RNA is filed under the name Triticum aestivum (bread wheat). RNAcentral describes it as "partial small subunit ribosomal RNA". The record is from RNAcentral. Lineage: Eukaryota; Viridiplantae; Streptophyta; Magnoliopsida; Poales; Poaceae.